RNAcentral lists this ribosomal RNA (734 nucleotides) under Levilactobacillus brevis. RNAcentral's name for it is "bacterial SSU rRNA". It matches the Rfam family "Bacterial small subunit ribosomal RNA", at positions 51 to 750 of the family's 1533-position model. The record is from RNAcentral. Lineage: Bacteria; Bacillati; Bacillota; Bacilli; Lactobacillales; Lactobacillaceae.
AUACAUGCAAGUCGAACGAGCUUCCGUUGAAUGACGUGCUUGCACUGAUUUCAACAAUGAAGCGAGUGGCGAACUGGUGAGUAACACGUGGGAAAUCUGCCCAGAAGCAGGGGAUAACACUUGGAAACAGGUGCUAAUACCGUAUAACAACAAAAUCCGCAUGGAUUUUGUUUGAAAGGUGGCUUCGGCUAUCACUUCUGGAUGAUCCCGCGGCGUAUUAGUUAGUUGGUGAGGUAAAGGCCCACCAAGACGAUGAUACGUAGCCGACCUGAGAGGGUAAUCGGCCACAUUGGGACUGAGACACGGCCCAAACUCCUACGGGAGGCAGCAGUAGGGAAUCUUCCACAAUGGACGAAAGUCUGAUGGAGCAAUGCCGCGUGAGUGAAGAAGGGUUUCGGCUCGUAAAACUCUGUUGUUAAAGAAGAACACCUUUGAGAGUAACUGUUCAAGGGUUGACGGUAUUUAACCAGAAAGCCACGGCUAACUACGUGCCAGCAGCCGCGGUAAUACGUAGGUGGCAAGCGUUGUCCGGAUUUAUUGGGCGUAAAGCGAGCGCAGGCGGUUUUUUAAGUCUGAUGUGAAAGCCUUCGGCUUAACCGGAGAAGUGCAUCGGAAACUGGGAGACUUGAGUGCAGAAGAGGACAGUGGAACUCCAUGUGUAGCGGUGGAAUGCGUAGAUAUAUGGAAGAACACCAGUGGCGAAGGCGGCUGUCUAGUCUGUAACUGACGCUGAG